Molecule: unclassified non-coding RNA, 263 nt
Filed under: plant metagenome
Description: partial contains small subunit ribosomal RNA, internal transcribed spacer 1, and 5.8S ribosomal RNA
Source: RNAcentral
UUUCCGUAGGUGAACCUGCGGAAGGAUCAUUAUUGUAUAACCGAGGUGCGAGGGCUGUCGCUGACCCGAAAGGUCGUGCACGCCCGAGUGCCCUCACACACAUCCAUCUUACCCCUAUGUGCACCACCGCGUGAGUCCCCCUUUGGCUUGUUCGGAGGGGGGCUUACGUUUUCACACAAACUUUGUAUGCAGUGUAGAAUGUAUUUUUUGUUUUUGCGAUCACGCAAUCAAUACAACUUUCAACAACGGAUCUCUUGGCUCUC